RNAcentral lists this unclassified non-coding RNA (267 nucleotides) under Hevea brasiliensis (rubber tree). Lineage: Eukaryota; Viridiplantae; Streptophyta; Magnoliopsida; Malpighiales; Euphorbiaceae. The record is from RNAcentral.
AUCAAAGGUUCAACAACCGAAGUCUAAGACUCCGAUAACCGAACUUGGUUCUGCUAGCUUUAUUUUUCUAUUGAUUCCAAGGUUCCAAAACAUGAUUUUAUGGUUCCUAAAGGCCUAGAAUAAGAUGUUUGAUAUGUGUAUAGAGUUCUAGAGCUUCGAAUAAAACUCAUUAGGUUUCGAUGGUUAUAGGAUCGAACUUGAGAGAUUCAGGAAGCUAAGGAUUCGAGAUUAGCUACCGUUCGUGUAAGGUGGUUGAUAGGCUACAAG